CCUACGGGGGGCUGCAGUGGGGAAUAUUGGACAAUGGGGGGAACCCUGAUCCAGCCAUGCCGCGUGUGUGAAGAAGGCCCUCGGGUUGUAAAGCACUUUCAGUGAGGAAGAACGCCUGGUGGUUAAUACCCAUCAGGAAAGACAUCACUCACAGAAGAAGCACCGGCUAACUCCGUGCCAGCAGCCGCGGUAAUACGGAGGGUGCGAGCGUUAAUCGGAAUUACUGGGCGUAAAGCGCGCGUAGGUGGCUUGAUAAGCCGGUUGUGAAAGCCCCGGGCUCAACCUGGGAACGGCAUCCGGAACUGUCAAGGUAGAGUGCAGGAGAGGAAGGUAGAAUUCCCGGUGUAGCGGUGAAAUGCGUAGAGAUCGGGAGGAAUACCAGUGGCGAAGGCGGCCUUCUGGACUGACACUGACACUGAGGUGCGAAAGCGUGGGUAGCAAACAGGAUUAGAUACCCCUGUAGUC
RNAcentral lists this ribosomal RNA (465 nucleotides) under Vreelandella stevensii. RNAcentral describes it as "partial 16S ribosomal RNA". It matches the Rfam family "Bacterial small subunit ribosomal RNA", at positions 338 to 795 of the family's 1533-position model. Lineage: Bacteria; Pseudomonadati; Pseudomonadota; Gammaproteobacteria; Oceanospirillales; Halomonadaceae. The record is from RNAcentral.